Molecule: ribosomal RNA, 485 nt
Filed under: Enterococcus hirae
Lineage: Bacteria; Bacillati; Bacillota; Bacilli; Lactobacillales; Enterococcaceae
Description: bacterial SSU rRNA
Rfam family: Bacterial small subunit ribosomal RNA
Source: RNAcentral
UGCAGUCGAACGCUUCUUUUUCCACCGAGAGCUUGCUCCCCGGAAAAAGAGGAGUGGCGAACGGGUGAGUAACACGUGGGUAACCUGCCCAUCAGAAGGGGAUAACACUUGGAAACAGGUGCUAAUACCGUAUAACAAUCGAAACCGCAUGGUUUUGAUUUGAAAGGCGCUUUCGGGUGUCGCUGAUGGAUGGACCCGCGGUGCAUUAGCUAGUUGGUGAGGUAACGGCUCACCAAGGCGACGAUGCAUAGCCGACCUGAGAGGGUGAUCGGCCACAUUGGGACUGAGACACGGCCCAAACUCCUACGGGAGGCAGCAGUAGGGAAUCUUCGGCAAUGGACGAAAGUCUGACCGAGCAACGCCGCGUGAGUGAAGAAGGUUUUCGGAUCGUAAAACUCUGUUGUUAGAGAAGAACAAGGAUGAAGUAACUGUUCAUCCCUUGACGGUAUCUAACCAGAAAGCCACGGCUAACUACGUGCCAGCAC